CGCGCUUCGCCGUGGCCGGACGGCUGCACCCAGCAGGCGCGCGCGCUGUUUUACAUUUGUACGAGUGCAUGGGCAGCAUGGCUACGCUGAUGGCAAGUUGGCAACAAACCCAACACUGGUUCCAUUUCAUCAACGUUGUCUUACAAAAAGCUUUAAGAAAAGCAAGCUUAGAACACAAAUUAAAGUCCAUAGCUCACGUACCCGUGUAAGAAACUAAGAACUAAUGCAGGUACGAUGGUAAGUAGUAGGAAGGUUGCAAAGAUGAAGAGUAUUAGAAGAUUGGAAUUUGGAAGAUGGAGCUCAUACUGAUUGAAGCCACGCAGCUGGCUCCUCCUUGUCGUUGAUCCGAUUACACACAUAAACGUUUGCAGAACUAAUGCUAGGAGCACUAAGUUUGACAAGGUGUAAAGCUAUACACCCCAUUUGAGAUUUACAGAUUGUAUCCUGAGGUUCUGUCUUCAAAUACGUACUGAUAUUUUUUUUCUCUCCUCCAUUUAUCUCCA
RNAcentral lists this long non-coding RNA (503 nucleotides) under Triticum aestivum (bread wheat). RNAcentral's name for it is "long non-coding RNA (TAES_LNC007411)". Lineage: Eukaryota; Viridiplantae; Streptophyta; Magnoliopsida; Poales; Poaceae. The record is from RNAcentral.